RNAcentral lists this ribosomal RNA (253 nucleotides) under uncultured bacterium. RNAcentral's name for it is "partial 16S ribosomal RNA". It matches the Rfam family "Bacterial small subunit ribosomal RNA", at positions 524 to 776 of the family's 1533-position model. The record is from RNAcentral.
UACGAAGGGUGCUAGCGUUGUUCGGAAUUACUGGGCGUAAAGCGCGUGUAGGCGGGCCGGUAAGUCGGGGGUGAAAGCCCAGAGCUCAACUCUGGAAUUGCCUUCGAUACUGGCGGCCUGGAGCAUGAUAGAGGCGAGUGGAAUUGCGUGUGUAGAGGUGAAAUUCGUAGAUAUUCGCAGGAACACCAGUGGCGAAGGCGACUCGCUGGAUCAGUGCUGACGCUGAGACGCGAAAGCGUGGGGAGCAAACAGG